UGUCUCAAAGAUUAAGCCAUGCAUGUCUAAGUUCACACUGUCCCAUGGUGAAACCGCGAAUGGCUCAUUAAAUCAGUCGAGGUUCCUUAGAUGACACGAUCCUACUUGGAUAACUGUGGCAAUUCUAGAGCUAAUACAUGCAAUCGAAGCUCCGACCUUUAUCGGGAAGAGCGCUUUUAUUAGUUCAAAACCAAUCGGCGCGGCCUCGCAAGGGGUUGCGUCGUCCCAAUUGGUGACUCUGGAUAACUUUGUGCUGAUCGCAUGGCCUCGCGCCGGCGACGCAUCUUUCAAAUGUCUGCCCUAUCAAAUGUCGAUGGUACGUGAUAUGCCUACCAUGUUUGUAACGGGUAACGGGGAAUCAGGGUUCGAUUCCGGAGAGGGAGCAUGAGAA
RNAcentral lists this ribosomal RNA (391 nucleotides) under Physa fontinalis. RNAcentral's name for it is "SSU rRNA". It matches the Rfam family "Eukaryotic small subunit ribosomal RNA", at positions 33 to 402 of the family's 1831-position model. Lineage: Eukaryota; Metazoa; Mollusca; Gastropoda; Physidae. The record is from RNAcentral.